Molecule: ribosomal RNA, 225 nt
Filed under: uncultured bacterium
Lineage: Bacteria
Description: partial 16S ribosomal RNA
Rfam family: Bacterial small subunit ribosomal RNA
Source: RNAcentral
GGCGGACGGGUGAGUAACGCGUGGGAACGUGCCCUUUGCUACGGAAUAGCCUCGGGAAACUGGGAGUAAUACCGUAUGUGCCCUUCGGGGGAAAGAUUUAUCGGCAAAGGAUCGGCCCGCGUUGGAUUAGGUAGUUGGUGAGGUAACGGCUCACCAAGCCGACGAUCCAUAGCUGGUUUGAGAGGAUGAUCAGCCACACUGGGACUGAGACACGGCCCAGACUCC